Molecule: ribosomal RNA, 254 nt
Filed under: uncultured bacterium
Lineage: Bacteria
Description: partial 16S ribosomal RNA
Rfam family: Bacterial small subunit ribosomal RNA
Source: RNAcentral
UACGUAGGGGCCAAGCGUUGUCCGGAUUUAUUGGGCGUAAAGGGCGCGUAGGCGGUCAGCACAAGUCAGUUGUGAAAUCUCCGGGCUUAACUCGGAAAGGUCAACUGAUACUGUGCGACUAGAGUGCAGAAGGGGCAACUGGAAUUCUCGGUGUAGCGGUGAAAUGCGUAGAUAUCGAGAGGAACACCUGCGGCGAAGGCGGGUUGCUGGGCUGACACUGACGCUGAUGCGCGAAAGCCAGGGGAGCGAACGGG